This 266-nucleotide ribosomal RNA is filed under the name uncultured Streptococcus sp. RNAcentral's name for it is "partial 16S ribosomal RNA". It matches the Rfam family "Bacterial small subunit ribosomal RNA", at positions 1116 to 1382 of the family's 1533-position model. Lineage: Bacteria; Bacillati; Bacillota; Bacilli; Lactobacillales; Streptococcaceae. The record is from RNAcentral.
GUCCAUCAUUCAGUUGGGCACUCUAGCGAGACUGCCGGUAAUAAACCGGAGGAAGGUGGGGAGUGACGUCAAAUCAUCAUGCCCCUUAUGACCUGGGCUACACACGUGCUACAAUGGUUGGUACAACGAGUUGCGAGUCGGUGACGGCGAGCUAAUCUCUUAAAGCCAAUCUCAGUUCGGAUUGUAGGCUGCAACUCGCCUACAUGAAGUCGGAAUCGCUAGUAAUCGCGGAUCAGCACGCCGCGGUGAAUACGUUCCCGGGCCUU